GUGGGGAAUAUUGGGCAAUGGGCGAAAGCCUGACCCAGCAACGCCGCGUGAAGGAAGAAGGUCUUCGGAUCGUAAACUUCUAUCCUUGGUGAAGAUAAUGACGGUAGCCGAGAAGGAAGCCCCGGCUAACUACGUGCCAGCAGCCGCGGUAAUACGUAGGGGGCAAGCGUUGUCCGGAAUGAUUGGGCGUAAAGGGCGCGUAGGCGGCCUGGUAAGUCUGGAGUGAAAGUCCUGCUUUUAAGGUGGGAAUUGGUUUGGAUACUGUCGGGGUUGAGUGCAGGAGAGGUAAGUGGAAUUCCCGGUGUAGCGGUGAAAUGCGUAGAGAUCGGGAGGAACACCAGUGGCGAAGGCGACUUACUGGACUGUAACUGACGCUGAGGCGCGAAAGUGUGGGGAGCAAACAGGAUUAGAUACCCGGGUAGUCC
RNAcentral lists this ribosomal RNA (425 nucleotides) under uncultured bacterium. RNAcentral describes it as "partial 16S ribosomal RNA". It matches the Rfam family "Bacterial small subunit ribosomal RNA", at positions 354 to 796 of the family's 1533-position model. The record is from RNAcentral.